ACGCGAGCCCGGUGCGGUUCCUGCGCGCCGCGCGCACCCGCCUGACAACCGCUCGCUACGUUUUAUGAGCU
This is a small RNA of 71 nucleotides. It matches the Rfam family "Xanthomonas sRNA sX9".